AGAACGAACGCUGGCGGCAGGCUUAACACAUGCAAGUCGAGCGCCCCGCAAGGGGGAGCGGCAGACGGGUGAGUAACGCGUGGGAAUCUACCCAUCUCUACGGAAUAACGCAUGGAAACGUGUGCUAAUACCGUAUACGUCCUUCGGGAGAAAGAUUAUCGGAGAUGGAUGAGCCCGCGUUGGAUUAGCUAGUUGGUGGGGUAAAGGCCUACCAAGGCGACGAUCCAUAGCUGGUCUGAGAGGAUGAUCAGCCACACUGGGACUGAGACACGGCCCAGACUCCUACGGGAGGCAGCAGUGGGGAAUAUUGGACAAUGGGCGCAAGCCUGAUCCAGCCAUGCCGCGUGAGUGAUGAAGGCCCGUAGGGUUGUAAGCUUACUUUCACCGGUGAAGAUAAUGACGGUAACGGAGAAGAACGCCCGGACUAACGUUCGUGCCAGCCAGCCGGAC
This 450-nucleotide ribosomal RNA is filed under the name uncultured soil bacterium. Its description in RNAcentral is "bacterial SSU rRNA". It matches the Rfam family "Bacterial small subunit ribosomal RNA", at positions 26 to 523 of the family's 1533-position model. The record is from RNAcentral.